Molecule: non-coding RNA, 802 nt
Filed under: Chimarra sadayu
Lineage: Eukaryota; Metazoa; Arthropoda; Insecta; Trichoptera; Philopotamidae
Source: RNAcentral
UAAAUUUAUUUUGAAAUUGAAAUUUGUUAUUAGUUAAUAUAUACAUAUAAUAAUUUAAAUUAAAUAAAAUUUUAAAAAUUUUAAAAGUUUUAAUUAUAUUAUAUAAUUUUUUAAAUAUAAUGAAAUUUAUAUAAGUUAAAUUAAGUAAGGUUAAUUAAAUUUUGUGCCAGCAAUUGCGGUUAGACAAAAAACUUAAACAAAUUGAAAAUAAAUAAGAAUAAUAAGAAUAUAAUUUAUGAGAAUUUUAAAUUUAAGGUGAAAUUUUAUAUUAAUUUUGGAGUAAAUAUAUAAGAAAUUUAAAAAAUUAUAUGUAAAACUAGGAUUAGAUACCCUAUUAUUAUAAUUAAGAGUAAAAGGUUUAAGUAUUUAAAUUUAAGAUAUGUAAAACUUAAGAAAAUUGGCAGUAUUUUAAUCAAUUUAGAGGAACUUGUAUUUUAAUAGAUAAUCCACUAAUAAAAUUACUUAAAUUAUUCAAAUUUGUAUAUCGUUGUUAUAAAAGUAUAUUAAUUAAUUUAAUAAAACUUUAAAAUUUUUAUAGAAAUUUAUAUCAAAUCAAGAUAUAGUUUAUAUUUAAGUUAAUAUGAGUUACAAUUUUUAAUAAAAGUAGAUUUGAAAAUUUAAAUUUCAAAGCAAAAUGGAUUUAAAAGUAAAUUUAUUUAAUUUAAAAAAUUGAUUAUUGUUUUAAAAUAUGUACAUAUUGCCCGUCACUUUCAAUGUUUUAAGUUAGUUAAGUAAAUUUAUUAAUUUAUAUAUUUGAAAUAAGUCGUAACAAAGUAGGAGUACUGGAAGGUGUUUCUAGAAG